RNAcentral lists this ribosomal RNA (439 nucleotides) under uncultured bacterium. RNAcentral describes it as "bacterial SSU rRNA". It matches the Rfam family "Bacterial small subunit ribosomal RNA", at positions 949 to 1388 of the family's 1533-position model. The record is from RNAcentral.
AUUCGAUGCAACGCGAAGAACCUUACCAGAUCUUGACCAUCCUCAGAAUCGAUUAGAAGUAAUUGAGUGCCUUCGGGAACUGAGAGACAGGUGGUGCAUGGCUGUCGACAGCUCGUGUCGUGAGAUGUUGGGUUAAGUCCCGCAACGAGCGCAACCCUUAUCGUUAGUUACCAUCAUUAAGUUGGGGACUCUAGCGAGACUGCCUGCGAAGAGCAGGAGGAAGGUGGGGAUGACGUCAAGUCAUCAUGCCCCUUAUGACCUGGGCUACACACGUGCUACAAUGGCUGGUACAACGAGUCGCAAGCCGGUGACGGCAAGCUAAUCUCUUAAAGCCAGUCUCAGUUCGGAUUGUAGGCUGCAACUCGCCUACAUGAAGUCGGAAUCGCUAGUAAUCGCGGAUCAGCACGCCGCGGUGAAUACGUUCCCGGGCCUAGUACAC